UCUCGUUCUCCUCCGCUCCGCUCUCUCCCACAAACAAAGACAAACAGAGACAAUCCCCUGCUCUCGUUCUCCUCCGCUCCGCUCUCUCCCACAAACAAAGACAAACAGAGACAAUUCCAACUGCCACAGAUGACGUGGAAACAGAGGGAUUCAUGUGCACAAACUGAUUUUGAGGCUGGGGCCCACGACUCCAUUUUGACAUCUGAACAUUUUCGGCGACCCCAACCAUUUUUUAUUUGGAGCUAUGGCAGUCAAUUGAAGAACAUUCUAACAGUAUUUCUGAUUGUCUUCUCAACUCAGCAUCUCAGCUCGAUCAGCUGUUCGAUUUGACUUAAGACAUGUCCACUGAGCCAAGAUCCCAGUCAAAUGGAUUGGGAAGAAGGUCUCAAAGUGCUCUUCCAAGCGUUGGAGGUUCCGCUGUUUAUGUGGGUGGACAAUAAGGAGAAGAGAGCUCACUCAUCACACCUGACACCUCAGCUUUUGAAGACAUCAUAAGACAACUAAGGCCAGAUGUGUUUCUACUUCCCUCCUCGCUCCCCCUGCACAGGCCUCCGUGAUUCAUUUUCCACAGACAUCUGAAAGCCCAAAACAGGCCUUACCCUUCCCAACUCUCCCUCCCCUCCUCACACCCUCACCCUCAGAGCGAUCACUUCCACCACUCCUUGACUGUCUCAGUCUGCUGCAUGUCAGCUUCUGGUGGAAAAAAAACAAGCAGGGGAAUGGAGAGGAAUGGAGAGGAAUGGAAUCCAGUGGCCUGGAUGUAAGAGAAGAAGCUCCUGGCUGAAACUCCUCUCAUCCCCUCAUCCCCCCCCCAUCCUCUCCCCAAAUGAUCUCUCCCACUCUGGUCAGUGGGUAGGCUGGGGACUGGACCAUUUGGGUGGUGUUAGAGGGGUUUAUAGGAGCCUCUCCCUGGCCUGAGGGGAAGCACAGUAAACCAAAUACAAGGGUACGUGAUGGUGAUGGAGGGGGUAGAGAGAUGACUUUCCUUAUGUGUGAAUUAAUUUCACUGACAAGAGGAAACAAAGAAAAGUAGGGAGUGGAGGAAUGUUGGUGUCUCUCUCCCCUCUAGCCUACACACCUCCCUGUUCCACCCUUCUUCGCCCCUCCCUCUCUGUUCCACCCUUCUUCACUCCUCCCUCCCUCUUACACUCUUUUUCACUCCUCCCUUUCCCACCUCAUCCUCUUUCUCUUGCAAGCUCCCUAGUAAUUUCUGUCCUUUUCCAACCUCUCAGAAAACACGACAAAAACUCAACGCUAUUAGUAGAGGGGUUUCCUGGUUGAAAUCUGAUAUCAAGGGCCUAUUGGGUUCUUCUGAAAUCUGAUAUCAAGGCCCUAUUGGGUUCUUCUGGAAUCUGAUAUCAAGGCCCUAUUGGGUUCUUCUGAAAUCUGAUAUCAAGGCCCUAUUGGGUUCUUCUGAAAUCUGAUAUCAAGGCCCUAUUGGGUUUUUCUGGAAUCUGAUAUCAAGGCCCUAUUGGGUUUUUCUGGAAUCUGAUAUCAAGGCCCUAUUGGGUUUUUCUGGCAUCUGAUAUCAAGGCCCUAUUGGGUUUUUCUGGAAUCUGAUAUCAAGGCCCUAUUGGGGUCUUCUGAAAUCUGAUAUCAAGGCCCUAUUGGGUUCUUCUGGAA
Oncorhynchus masou masou (cherry salmon) is the source of this 1623-nucleotide long non-coding RNA. RefSeq lists it as uncharacterized. NCBI's taxonomy places the organism in Eukaryota, Metazoa, Chordata, Actinopteri, Salmoniformes, Salmonidae. The record is from RefSeq and is a predicted model, not a curated record. The transcript is spliced from 4 exons.